RNAcentral lists this ribosomal RNA (463 nucleotides) under uncultured bacterium. RNAcentral's name for it is "SSU rRNA". It matches the Rfam family "Bacterial small subunit ribosomal RNA", at positions 26 to 518 of the family's 1533-position model. The record is from RNAcentral.
AGGACUAACGCUGGCGGCGUGCCUAACACAUGCAAGUCGAACGGGGUAGCAAUACCCAGUGGCAGACGGGUGAGUAACACGUGGUCAACCUACCUCUAUGUGGGGGAUAACUAGCCGAAAGGUUAGCUAAUACCGCAUACGAUCGCUUUGGGGCAUCCCUAGGCGAUGAAAGGAGCAAUCCGCAUAGAGAGGGGACUGCGUCCCAUUAGUUAGUUGGUGGGGUAACGGCCUACCAAGACUCCGAUGGGUAGCUGGCUUGAGAGAGCGACCAGCCACACUGGAACUGAGACACGGUCCAGACUCCUAUGGGAGGCAGCAGUGAGGAAUUUUCCGCAAUGGGCGAAAGCCUGACGGAGCGACGCCGCGUGUGGGAAGAAGGCCUUCGGGUCGUAAACCACUGUCGAAGGGACGAUAAUGACGGUACCCUUGGAGGAAGCCCGGCUAACUACGCGCCAGCAGCCGC